GAUGAACGCUGGCGGCGUGCCUAAUACAUGCAAGUCGAGCGAACAGACGAGGAGCUUGCUCCUCUGACGUUAGCGGCGGACGGGUGAGUAACACGUGGAUCACCUACCUAUAAGACUGGGAUCACUUCGGGAAACCGGAGCUAAUACCGGAUAAUAUAUUGAACCGCAUGGUUCAAUAGUGAAAGACGGUUUUGCUGUCACUUAUAGAUGGAUCUGCGCCGCAUUAGCUAGUUGGUAAGGUAACGGCUUACCAAGGCAACGAUGCGUAGCCGAACUGAGAGGGGGAUCGGCCACACUGGAGCUGAGACACGGUCCAGACUCCUACGGGAGGCAGCAGUAGGGAAUCGUACGCAGUGGGCGAAAGCCUUACGGAGCAACGCCGCGUGAGUGAUGGAGGUCUUCGGAUCGUAAAACUCUGUUAUUAGGGAAGAACAAAUGUGUAAGUAACUAUGCACGUCUUGACGGUACCUAAUCAGAAAGCCACGGCUAACUACGUG
RNAcentral lists this ribosomal RNA (497 nucleotides) under uncultured bacterium. Its description in RNAcentral is "partial 16S ribosomal RNA". It matches the Rfam family "Bacterial small subunit ribosomal RNA", at positions 28 to 507 of the family's 1533-position model. The record is from RNAcentral.